This 510-nucleotide ribosomal RNA is filed under the name uncultured bacterium. RNAcentral describes it as "partial 16S ribosomal RNA". It matches the Rfam family "Bacterial small subunit ribosomal RNA", at positions 28 to 507 of the family's 1533-position model. The record is from RNAcentral.
GACGAACGCUGGCGGCGUGCUUAACACAUGCAAGUCGAACGAAGAGCGAUGGAAGCUUGCUUCUAUCAAUCUUAGUGGCGAACGGGUGAGUAACGCGUAAUCAACCUGCCCUUCAGAGGGGGACAACAGUUGGAAACGACUGCUAAUACCGCAUACGAUCUAAUCUCGGCAUCGAGGAUAGAUGAAAGGUGGCCUCUACAUGUAAGCUAUCACUGAAGGAGGGGAUUGCGUCUGAUUAGCUAGUUGGAGGGGUAACGGCCCACCAAGGCGAUGAUCAGUAGCCGGUCUGAGAGGAUGAACGCCCACAUUGGGACUGAGACACGGCCCAGACUCCUACGGGAGGCAGCAGUGGGGAAGCUUCCGCAAUGGACGAAAGUCUGACGGAGCAACGCCGCGUGAGUGAUGACGGCCUUCGGGUUGUAAAGCUCUGUUAAUCGGGACGAAAGGCCUUCUUGCGAAUAGUGAGAAGGAUUGACGGUACCGGAAUAGAAAGCCACGGCUAACUACGUG